AACGCUGGCGGCGUGCCUAAUACAUGCAAGUAGAACGCUGAAGAGAGGAGCUUGCUCUUCUUGGAUGAGUUGCGAACGGGUGAGUAACGCGUAGGUAACCUGCCUGGUAGCGGGGGAUAACUAUUGGAAACGAUAGCUAAUACCGCAUAAUAGCAGUUAUUGCAUGAUAACUGUUUGAAAGGUGCAAAUGCAUCACUACCAGAUGGACCUGCGUUGUAUUAGCUAGUUGGUGGGGUAACGGCUCACCAAGGCGACGAUACAUAGCCGACCUGAGAGGGUGAUCGGCCACACUGGGACUGAGACACGGCCCAGACUCCUACGGGAGGCAGCAGUAGGGAAUCUUCGGCAAUGGACGGAAGUCUGACCGAGCAACGCCGCGUGAGUGAAGAAGGUUUUCGGAUCGUAAAGCUCUGUUGUAAGAGAAGAACGAGUGUGAGAGUGGAAAGUCAC
This 450-nucleotide ribosomal RNA is filed under the name Streptococcus mitis. RNAcentral describes it as "bacterial SSU rRNA". It matches the Rfam family "Bacterial small subunit ribosomal RNA", at positions 32 to 467 of the family's 1533-position model. Lineage: Bacteria; Bacillati; Bacillota; Bacilli; Lactobacillales; Streptococcaceae. The record is from RNAcentral.